RNAcentral lists this ribosomal RNA (425 nucleotides) under uncultured bacterium. RNAcentral's name for it is "bacterial SSU rRNA". It matches the Rfam family "Bacterial small subunit ribosomal RNA", at positions 359 to 776 of the family's 1533-position model. The record is from RNAcentral.
GAAUAUUGCGCAAUGGGGGCAACCCUGACGCAGCCAUGCCGCGUGUGUGAAGAAGGCCUUCGGGUUGUAAAGCACUUUAAGUGGGGAAGAAAAGCUGUAGCCUAAUAAGCUGCAGCCGUGACAUUACCCACAGAGUAAGCACCGGCUAACUCCGUUCCAGCAGCCGCGGUAAUACGGAGGGUGCGAGCGUUAAGCGGAAUUACUGGGCGUAAAGCGCGCGUAGGCGGUUUGUUAAGUCAGCUGUGAAAGCCCCGGGCUCAACCUGGGAACUGCAGUUGAUACUGGCCGACUGGAGUGCGAGAGAGGGAGGUAGAAUUCCAUGUGUAGCGGUGAAAUGCGUAGAUAUAUGGAGGAAUACCGGUGGCGAAGGCGGCCUCCUGGCUCGACACUGACGCUGAGGUGCGAAAGCGUGGGGAUCAAACAGG